This 305-nucleotide ribosomal RNA is filed under the name uncultured bacterium. Its description in RNAcentral is "bacterial SSU rRNA". It matches the Rfam family "Bacterial small subunit ribosomal RNA", at positions 333 to 654 of the family's 1533-position model. The record is from RNAcentral.
AAUUACCUACGGGGGGCAGCAGUGGGGAAUAUUGCACAAUGGGGGAAACCCUGAUGCAGCGACGCCGCGUGAGCGAGGAAGUAUUUCGGUAUGUAAAGCUCUGUCAGCAGGGAAGAAGAAUGACGGUACCUGAAGAAGAAGCACCGGCUAAAUACGUGCCAGCAGCCGCGGUAAUACGUAGGGGGCAAGCGUUAUCCGGAUUUACUGGGUGUAAAGGGAGCGUAGACGGCGGCGCAAGUCCGGAGUGAAAGCCCACGGCCCAACCGUGGGACUGCUCUGGAAACUGUGCGGCUUGAGUGCGGGAG